Molecule: long non-coding RNA, 1059 nt
Filed under: Cucumis sativus (cucumber)
Lineage: Eukaryota; Viridiplantae; Streptophyta; Magnoliopsida; Cucurbitales; Cucurbitaceae
Description: long non-coding RNA (CSAT_LNC002166)
Source: RNAcentral
UGUUCUUUGCCAGCCUCCAUCAACUUAUCCACCAUCUCUCUCAUUUUCUCAUUUUCUUCAACCAGUUUUUCGUCCAUCUCUCUGUCUCUUACCAAAUCAUGCUUGUCCACCGUCUCCCGCUGGGCAUUCGGCAAAGCAGGUAGGGACACUUCACCCAUCUCAAUAGAGGUUGCUUCCCCAGUAGCAUGUAACUCGUUAGCCUGGUUAUCUAACUUGCAGGAUGGGAUAUGUUCGAGUACACAUGGGUCUUGUAGCACGUCUUCUGCCAUUUUAUUUUUCGUAUCUGCAGUUUGUUGUUCAUUUUCAUUGGUUACCAUCUCGUUUUUUAUGUUCUCAUUACGGUAGGAUUCUGAUAAUUCCCCUAGCGAUUCUGCAGAUUGAUCACAUGCUCGUCUAGCCUGGUGGUUGUCCCACUCAUCUUCCAGCACCUUCUCCACCUCAUCUGUCUGUUGUCUGUCUUCAUCGGUUAACAAUUCGUUUUGGAUGAUCAGGUCAUCAUUAGAGUUUGAUUGCUCCCCUGGCAGUGCUGCAGAUUCAUCAGGUGCUCCUUGCUUCUCAGUAGGGCUUCCGUCACUAUCUAGUUUGACUGCUAAAUUAUGUGAAUUCUCUUCAGCCUCUGAUACCCCUCUCCUCAUCUCAACGUGCUCAAGCUUGUCAGUUUCGGGUUUAUUUGAAUUGCCAUCCUCUCUCAUUGGAAGUUCCAUAUCUGCAGCCUUUUCAUAAGGUGUUGAAAUGGUUAUCUUAUCAAUUGCUUCAGGUGUUUGUCCUGCUUGUGCUCCCACUUGAUCAUCAGAAUCGGGGCUCAAAACAUGAACUUCCAAAGAAUCUCUUACAGGAUGGCCAUCUUCUGAAAAAUAUCGGUGAUGAUGUAAAGUUUCUUCAUUCAUGUCCAUUUGAAGAACUUCAUCUACAUUUUCCUCUGCAUCAUUGACCAGCUUCACAUUCUGUUCCAUCUCAGCUCCUGAUUCAUCCUCAUCUGCUCGCUUUUCCCCCAUUAGCGAAGGCAUAACUUCUUCACCCUCGAUUUGGUUGGAGAAGUAUUGAGAAGACAAUCCGGAG